CCUACGGGCGGCAGCAGUGAGGAAUAUUGGUCAAUGGACGCAAGCCUGAACCAGCCAUGCCGCGUGCAGGAAGAAGGCUCUAUGAGUCGUAAACCGCUUUUGUCCGAGGGCAAACGCAGAUACGCGUACCUGUCUGAAAGUACCGUACGAAUAAGGAUCGGCUACCUCCGUGCCAGCCGCCGCGGGAAUACGGAGGAUUCAAGCGUUCACCGGAUUUACUGGGGUUAAAGGGGGCGGCGGCGGCCGGGUCAGUUAGGGGGGAAAUCCCGGGGCCCAACUUCGGGCUUGCCGCUGAUCCUGGUCGGCUAGAGAGUGGGAGAGGUAGGCGGAAUGUGUGGUGUAGCGGUGAAAUGCUUAGAUAUCACGCAGAACCCCGAUUGCGAAGGCAGCUUACCGGCCUACUACUGACGUGGAGGCACGAAAGCGUGGGGAUCGAACAGGAUUAGAUACCCGUGUAGUC
Molecule: ribosomal RNA, 460 nt
Filed under: uncultured bacterium
Lineage: Bacteria
Description: partial 16S ribosomal RNA
Rfam family: Bacterial small subunit ribosomal RNA
Source: RNAcentral